RNAcentral lists this long non-coding RNA (1812 nucleotides) under Junco hyemalis (dark-eyed junco). Its description in RNAcentral is "lncRNA (ENSJHYG00000008613.1)". Lineage: Eukaryota; Metazoa; Chordata; Aves; Passeriformes; Passerellidae. The record is from RNAcentral.
AUGUGGACCCUGGGUGAUGGAGCUGGGGUGCAAGAUGUGACCCCCUGUUCUGGAGUGUGGGGUGUGGAUCCCUGGAGCUGGGGCUCAGGAUGCAGAUCCCUGCAGGAUCUGCUGUGGAUUGCUGGGAUGUGGAAUGUGAAUCCUGGGUGCUGGGGUGCAGUGUGUGGAUCACGGGGGUUGGAAUGUGCAUCCUGGGUGCUGGGUGUGGAUCGCUGGGGUGUGGGCUCUGGAUCCUGCUCCUGGGGCUGUGGUGUGGGUCGUGUCCCUGGGUGCCGGAUGAAGCCCGGGAAGGCUCAGCAAGGCUGGGAAGUAGCCAGGGGCCGGGCUGGAGGCGUGGGACUGAGCCCACCCCGCAGCUGGCGGCCCCACUGCUCCCCACCCAGCUCCUGGGGCCGCUCACUUGGCCGCAGAUCCUGCAGAUCUUAUGGAUGCUGCAGGGCCAGGGCCAGCCCAGCCCCGGGGACAGAGCCUGGAGCCAGGAGGGCUGGGGCUGUCCCUGCUGGGGCUGGGCAGGGGCAGGGGAGCUGCCGGGGCCUUGCUUCCCCCUGUCCCGGGGCCGUGGUGGGGCCCUGCCCUCGCUGCAGCCGCCCCAGGAGCAGCUGGGUGGGGAAGAGCCAUGAGCUCAUCCUGCUGUGCUGGGCCAGGGCAGGGCUGUGUCCUGCUCGUGGCAUCACAGGGACCCCUCCUCAUCCCAGCACCCACUGCUGCACCAAACCCACCAGGGUGGCACCUUGCCAGCCCCACUGUGGCACCCGGACAUGGCCCUGGGGAUCCCCACCGUGGGAGCAGCAUGUGGCUGAAGGGAUCCACCACAGUGGGAGCAGGACACGGCUGUGGGGAUCCCCCUGUGAGAGCAGGAUGUGGCCAUGGAGGUCCAUCACAGUGGAAGCAGGAUGUGGCCAUGGGGACCAUCCCACAGCCAGACCAGGACAGGGCUGUUGGAUGCCCACGGUGGGAGCAGGAUUUGGUGCAGCAGUGACCCCGAGCCCGUGGCUGUGCAGUGGCCCUGGGGCUGUGUCCCCUGGCCUGGGCUCCCUGGGUGGGCUCUGCAGGGCACCAGGAGGCUGCAGGAGGCACAGCCUGGGCUGGGCUGGGCUGGGCCGUGGCCGGAGCCCACAGCCCCGCUGCCCACGCCUGCCCCAGCUCUGGUGCCAAGGGGAGCAGGGAACAAAGGCGGCUUGUGGCGGGCGCCGGGUCUCUGCCCUUCCUGCAGGAAGCCCCGGGGCCGGACAAGGGGCCCGUGUCCGGACAUGGCCGCCCGCCAGCACGUGCCGGGGGGGUGGCGAGGGGGUGGCGAGGGCGGCCGGGGAUGCCACUGCUCCCUCACUGCUGCCAUGGGCAGCCACAGGACAUGGGAACACCAUGGACACCCCUGGGCACGGGAGCACAGGGCUCUGCUCCCUCACUGCUGCCAUGGGCAGCCACAGGACACGGGAACACCACGGACACCCCUGGGCACGGGAGCACAGGGCUCUGCCCUCCACCUGCCCCUCCAGAGGCAGUACUGGGGCUGCGGUGGCUGGGGGCUGCCCAGGGGGGAACCACACUCAUGUGCCAAUUCCUGCAAUGUGCCCAUCCUCAGUGUCCCCAUUCCCACACAGUUCAAUGGCCCCGUGGCCACCUCCUGCACUGUCCCCAUUGCUGUCCCUUACAAUGCCCCCAAGCCCCCGGCUGGGAGCUCAGCUGGGCACAGAGAUGGUGGGGUCAGGACUGGCCACGGCAGGGACAUCCCAAGCUUCCUCCGGCAUCUGCCCCCAGAGGAGAGCCCUGGCAGGCACCGUGAGCACCCUCAGCUUGGCCCUGGCACAGUGA